AUUGAACGCUGGCGGCAUGCUUUACACAUGCAAGUCGAACGGCAGCGCAGGCUUCGUCCUUGUGGCGAGUGGCGAUCGGGUGCGUAAUGCAUCUGAACCUGCCUCUUCGUGGUGGAUAGCCCUGCGAAAGCCGGAUUUAUACCGCUUCCGACUUCAGGCUUCAAGCGGGGGACCGAAAUGCCUCGCGCUCUUGGACCUGCCGAUGUCGGAUUAGCUAUUUGGUGGGGUAAAGGCUUACCAAGGCGACGAUCCGUAGCUGGUCUGAGAGGACGACCAGCCACACUGGGACUGAGACACGGCCCAGACUCCUACGGGAGGCAGCAGUGGGGAAUAUUGGACAAUGGGGGCAAGCCUGAUCCAGCCAUGCCGCGUGCGGGAAGAAGGCCUUCGGGUUGUAAAGCGCUUUUGUUCGGGAAGAAAUCCUCUGGGCUAAUACCCCGGGGGGAUGACGGUACCGGAAGAAUAAGCACCGGCUAACUACGUG
This 484-nucleotide ribosomal RNA is filed under the name uncultured bacterium. RNAcentral describes it as "partial 16S ribosomal RNA". It matches the Rfam family "Bacterial small subunit ribosomal RNA", at positions 30 to 507 of the family's 1533-position model. The record is from RNAcentral.